RNAcentral lists this ribosomal RNA (626 nucleotides) under uncultured bacterium. RNAcentral describes it as "partial 16S ribosomal RNA". The record is from RNAcentral.
UCUAGGGUACCAUCAUUAUUUUCCCCUACRRAAGGAGUUUACAAUCCGAAAACCUUCAUCCUCCACGCGGCGUCGCUGCGUCAGGCUUUCGCCCAUUGCGCAAAAUUCCCCACUGCUGCCUCCCGUAGGAGUCUGGACCGUAUCUCAGUUCCAGUGUGGCCGUUCAACCUCUCAGUCCGGCUACCCGUCUUAGGCUUGGKGGGCCUUUACCCCGCCAACUACCUGAUAGGCCGCAGGCCCAUCCUAAAGUGUAUUGCUACUUUUACCACAGACCUCCCAGUCCGUGGUCUUAUGCGGUAUUAGCCCAAGUUUCCCUGGGUUGUCCCCCGCUUUAGGGUUGGUUACCUACGUGUUACUCACCCGUCCGCCACUAAGUUAACCGAUAGCACACAGCGUUCAGCUUUCAGCCGUCAGCUUUGAAGGAACUUCUAUCCUCUCUUUGCUGAUCGCUAAAUGCUAACUGCUGAGUGCUACCGAUUAACCCCGUUCGACUUGCAUGUGUUAAGCACGCCGCCAGCGUUCGUUCUGAGCCAUGAUCAAACUCUAAUCGAAUUCCCGCGGGCCGCCAUGGCGGCCGGGAGCAUGCGACGUCGGGCCCAAUUCGCCCUAUAGUGAGUCGUAUACAU